CGGAUGGAUUGGACGUCGCCAUGUACCGCAUAUCGGGGCUGGAAAAAGAGCGCUCGCUAACGAAACAAUAACAGAUGGACACGCAUAGACGGAUGUGCCGAGGGAGAGAGAGGGGGGCGUCUUCCUUUCUUUUUUCCUUCUUUGAUCGCGGGACCUCGUGCAUGGCAGCAGUGCUGCUUCCGCUGUUGCUGCUGCGCUUCGCUCACGAGAAGAGCGGACAGGAGGAACGGCCCAGGGCAAGGUGAAGGAGGGCUUGCCUACCGGGUGCCCCCUUACAUUUCUAGACGCUUCGGCCGAUGCCACCAACUGCCCCUCUCUCCAGCACCCACCCCACCCCCGCCCGCAUGGGUGGCGCGUAGCACUGUUGUUGUUAUUGGGCAUGCGGUGGCGUCAUCAGUAGUCUUUAGACCUCUCGAUGAAACGGCACGCGGGUGGAGGUUUCGGCAGCGGGUGCGAAGAAAGUUAGCAGCCGAUGGCAUCUCUUCCCCCCCUCCCCCCCUCUCUGCGCAACUCCUGCUCUGUUCCUCUCCGUGCUUGAAUCGGCGUUCCAUCUCUCCGCCCUCCCGUCAG
RNAcentral lists this unclassified non-coding RNA (570 nucleotides) under Leishmania donovani. RNAcentral describes it as "gene:unknown". Lineage: Eukaryota; Euglenozoa; Kinetoplastea; Trypanosomatida; Trypanosomatidae. The record is from RNAcentral.